This 1562-nucleotide unclassified non-coding RNA is filed under the name Ceratitis capitata (Mediterranean fruit fly). RNAcentral's name for it is "uncharacterized LOC105664731, transcript variant X1". Lineage: Eukaryota; Metazoa; Arthropoda; Insecta; Diptera; Tephritidae. The record is from RNAcentral.
AAAAAAUUGUAUAUAAAAUAAAUACUAAAUAUAAUUGCAGAACACAUUGCAUUGCUACUCAAAAUUCCCAUAUAAAAAUGUAGAAUUUAUUUAUUUAGCAAAAACUUUUCCCUCUACCUCGUUCUUUUUUUUAUACCGUAAGUUAUCUCUUAUCAAUUUUCAAGCAAUCAAGUGACUACCACUUAAAGCUUUUAUAAGAAAAUUCAAAACUAGCAAAUUCAUUGUGAUGUCGACUUAUGUGUUAAAAAUAUUACUGUCACGAUGGUCGGAAAAUUAUGAUUGAAUAAAAAAAUCGCUGGUCAAAUGAACCCAUUUCGAGUCGAUUGAGGUCAUCCAGACGGCCUGUGACGAAGGUACUCGCGGACAUCCCAGUCGAAGCGUUCCACAAAUGUUACGAAGCAUGGGAAACGCGCUGGAAUCUUUGUAUAGCUGCCCACAGGGACUAAUUUUGAAGGGAAUGGCAGAGUUGUAGAAUAAUUUUGAAAUAUACGGUUUUAAUGAAAUCAGUCUCAUUACUUAACGCCAACAGGGCCAACGAUAAUAUUGAUGUUUCUUGGUAUCUUGCAGAAAAAAAAUCUAGAGAAUUUAUCUAAAUGAAGAAUAAAAUUCAAAAUGCUUUAAGCCCAAUAAAAGUGACACAUGGGCAAACUUAUCCGGUUCACCUGACAAUUGAUUUGACGAAAACUGUCGCGAAGCAAUUGCAGCCAUGCGGGAAAACUACAGGGGGAAGAAGCCAGUGAGAGACACCUUUUCAAGCGGAGAAGACGAGAAUAGGAAAUGAGCGCGCGUGGUCAACCAUCGACCCAAGAUGCGCAGUGCACCCCGCCAUUUAGAAAUUGCGAAAUAAAAGUCGCAAAUAUGCUUAUAAAGAACAAAAACGCAGUCGGAGCUGACGGACUGCCUGUUAAGUUGUUCAAGGCUGGCAGAGGUGAGCUUAUAGGGUGCAUGUAUCAGCUUCUCUGCAAAAUAUGGCUAGCGGAAUGCAUGCUCGAUGAUUGCAAUCUCUGUAACCUUUGUCCUCUAUUGACGAUAUGCGCCAACUACCGGAAAAUCAGACUUAUUGCAAUUUUCUACAAGGUCCGGUAUAGCUUUUUGUGGGAAAGGCUAAAGCUGUUUGAAAACAUAUUGAUUGGACCAUAUCAGUGUAACUUUAGACUUGAUAAAUUAACUAUCGAACUGAAUUACAUAUGACGCCCAAUCCAAGCACCUACAAAAAACAGCUCGACCCAUCAUCACUUUUUCGAUUAUACCAUAUUCCAGUAAGCUAAUGUGUAGUUGAGUUCUCUUAUAUGGGGUUACGUUGCAAACGGAUGCAAACGCGUUUGGAGUGUUCGAGAGAAAAAUAUAUGUCGCAGAAUCUUCAGUUGAACAGCGAACUGUACGACUUUUACGAUGACGUCGAUAUUCUUAGGGUCAUCGAAAUACAACGUUUGCGCUGGCUGAUUUAAGCUCAAGCGAUGAAGAUUGGGGAGGAAAGGGACGAAUUAAGGGGAACACCUAGUGUGAAAUUUCAAAAAAAUCGAUCUGUUUCAUAUUUCGGUAGAAUACACAUUUAAAAAUAA